RNAcentral lists this ribosomal RNA (717 nucleotides) under Bacillus zhangzhouensis. RNAcentral's name for it is "bacterial SSU rRNA". It matches the Rfam family "Bacterial small subunit ribosomal RNA", at positions 49 to 749 of the family's 1533-position model. Lineage: Bacteria; Bacillati; Bacillota; Bacilli; Caryophanales; Bacillaceae. The record is from RNAcentral.
CUAUACUGCAAGUCGAGCGGACAGAAGGGAGCUUGCUCCCGGAUGUUAGCGGCGGACGGGUGAGUAACACGUGGGUAACCUGCCUGUAAGACUGGGAUAACUCCGGGAAACCGGAGCUAAUACCGGAUAGUUCCUUGAACCGCAUGGUUCAAGGAUGAAAGACGGUUUCGGCUGUCACUUACAGAUGGACCCGCGGCGCAUUAGCUAGUUGGUGGGGUAAUGGCUCACCAAGGCGACGAUGCGUAGCCGACCUGAGAGGGUGAUCGGCCACACUGGGACUGAGACACGGCCCAGACUCCUACGGGAGGCAGCAGUAGGGAAUCUUCCGCAAUGGACGAAAGUCUGACGGAGCAACGCCGCGUGAGUGAUGAAGGUUUUCGGAUCGUAAAGCUCUGUUGUUAGGGAAGAACAAGUGCGAGAGUAACUGCUCGCACCUUGACGGUACCUAACCAGAAAGCCACGGCUAACUACGUGCCAGCAGCCGCGGUAAUACGUAGGUGGCAAGCGUUGUCCGGAAUUAUUGGGCGUAAAGGGCUCGCAGGCGGUUUCUUAAGUCUGAUGUGAAAGCCCCCGGCUCAACCGGGGAGGGUCAUUGGAAACUGGGAAACUUGAGUGCAGAAGAGGAGAGUGGAAUUCCACGUGUAGCGGUGAAAUGCGUAGAGAUGUGGAGGAACACCAGUGGGCGAAGGCGACUCUCUGGUCUGUUACUGACGCUGA